AGAACGAACGCUGGCGGCAUGCCUAACACAUGCAAGUCGAACGCUCACCGGGCUUCGGUUCGGUGGGAGUGGCGCACGGGUGAGUAGCGCGUGGGAACCUGCCCUGUUGUGGGGGAUAACCGAGGGAAACUUCGGCUAAUACCGCAUGCGCCCGGGGAAACCCGGGGAAAGAUUUAUCGCAGCAGGAGGGGCCCGCGUCGGAUUAGGUAGUUGGUAGGGUAACGGCCUACCAAGCCUUUGAUCCGUAGCUGGUCUGAGAGGAUGAUCAGCCACACUGGGACUGAGACACGGCCCAGACUCCUACGGGAGGCAGCAGUGGGGAAUCUUGCGCAAUGGGCGAAAGCCUGACGCAGCAACGCCGCGUGGAGGACGAAGGCUUUCUGAGUUGUAAACUCCUUUCAGCAGGGACGAUAGUGACGGUACCUGCAGAAGAAGCACCGGCCAACUACGUGCCAGCAGCCGC
Molecule: ribosomal RNA, 463 nt
Filed under: uncultured bacterium
Lineage: Bacteria
Description: SSU rRNA
Rfam family: Bacterial small subunit ribosomal RNA
Source: RNAcentral